RNAcentral lists this ribosomal RNA (495 nucleotides) under uncultured bacterium. Its description in RNAcentral is "partial 16S ribosomal RNA". It matches the Rfam family "Bacterial small subunit ribosomal RNA", at positions 28 to 507 of the family's 1533-position model. The record is from RNAcentral.
GAUGAACGCUGGCGGCGUGCCUAAUACAUGCAAGUAGAACGCUGAAGGCGGAGCUUGCUCUUCUGGAUGAGUUGCGAACGGGUGAGUAACGCGUAGGUAACCUGCCUGGUAGUGGGGGAUAACUAUUGGAAACGAUAGCUAAUACCGCAUGACAACAGCUACUGCAUGAUAACUGUUUAAAAGGGGCAACUGUUCCACUACCAGUUGGACCUGCGCUGUAUUAGCUAGUUGGUGAGGUAACGGCUCACCAAGGCGACGAUACAUAGCCGACCUGCGAGGGUGAGCAGCCAGACUGGGACGGAGACACGGCCCAGACUCCUACGGAGAGCAGCAGUAGGGAAUCGGCAGCAAUGGGCGGAAGUCUGACCGAGCAACGCCGCGUGAGUGAGGAAGGUUGUCGGGUCGGAGAGCUCGGUUGUAAGGGAAGAACGAGUGUGAGAGUGGAAAGUUCACACUGUGACGGUAUCUGACCAGAAAGCGACGGCUAACUACGUG